Molecule: long non-coding RNA, 851 nt
Organism: Drosophila innubila
Lineage: Eukaryota; Metazoa; Arthropoda; Insecta; Diptera; Drosophilidae
Exons: 2
Source: RefSeq, a predicted model, not a curated record
UUUCAUCGGACUUGAAUCCAGUAUUGGAAAUUAAAAUGAGAAGAUAUAUAUUUUAUAUAAUUUUUAUUUUGGCUAUUCUGCGAAAUGGAACCUCAUUAGCAACUCCCCCUAAUGAAAUUGAGACUUGUAUAUUGAAUCGGGAACUAGAACAACAAUGCGGAUUGUAUACAUAUAAGGCUCUCAAGCCAUUGCUAGACUAUAUUGGACAAAUUAAGGAUGAAUUAAUGAAAAGUGAAUUAAGGGAAAAAGAAAUACUGGAUUGAAAAGAGAAAUUGGUUCAACAUGAAGCCAAUGAAGCUGUCAUCAAAGAAUUGAGAUCUCAGAACAAAAAUCUUCAAGAUUUUCAACAAACUUUUACGCUUAGCCUUCUUUCAAUUUCGAAAACAACAGAGAAUUGUGAUAAAUUUAAAAUGGACUUAGUUGAUAAUACGCAAAAACUAAUUAGUUGCCAAAAUGAGAUAAUGACACUAAAUUCCACUCUCAUUAAGAAGGAUUCUGAAAUUAUAAAUCUGAGUGUGAAAGCUAAAAAUGCAACUGACGAGCUGAAAACAACUCAACAGAAAUUAGAAGAGACUCAGGAUAAGUUAUUAUCUUGCAAAAUAACACAGAAUAAUACAGAACCGUACGAAGAUCAUUUAAAAUCACUUAGCUCCACUCUCAUUAAGAGGGAUUUGGAAAUUAAAAGUCUCAAUGACAAGAUUAUCAGCAAUACACAACUUUGCUUAGAAGAGUACCGGGCUUUACUUAUUAACUGCUCAGCAGAAAAAACAAAAUUAAAAACUGAAUGUUACAACUCUCAAUUUGGAGGUUAAUAAUGAAACUGACAACAUAAUAAAAAUUUAAUUUCGUAA